This 73-nucleotide transfer RNA is filed under the name Trichonephila clavata. It matches the Rfam family "tRNA". Rfam says of the family: Transfer RNA (tRNA) molecules are approximately 80 nucleotides in length. Their secondary structure includes four short double-helical elements and three loops (D, anti-codon, and T loops). The record is from Rfam by way of RNAcentral. Lineage: Eukaryota; Metazoa; Arthropoda; Arachnida; Araneae; Nephilidae.
GUCCCUGUAACGCAAUGGAUAGCGCGUUGGACUUCAAUUCCGAAAGUCGUGGUUUCAAAUCCCAUCUGGGAUG